This 2499-nucleotide long non-coding RNA is filed under the name Takifugu rubripes (torafugu). RNAcentral describes it as "lncRNA (ENSTRUG00000032167.1)". Lineage: Eukaryota; Metazoa; Chordata; Actinopteri; Tetraodontiformes; Tetraodontidae. The record is from RNAcentral.
UCAGCUAAAAUGCAGGUCAUCAAUUUCCCCCUCUCGUUAUUAUUAAACCUGAUCUGGAACAACUUUAGGACGUGAAACCCUAACCCUGACCCUAACCCUGACCCUAACCCUGACCCUGACCCUAACCCAUAACCCAAAUCCUAACCCUAACCCCUAACUCUAACCCUAACCCUGACCCCUAACCCAAACCGUAACCCUAACCCUGACCCUGACCCUAACCCUGACCCUAACCCAAAUCUAACCCUAACCCCUAACCCUAACCCUAACUCUAACCCUAACCCUGACCCCUAACCCAAACCGUAACCCUAACCCUGACCCUAACCCUGACCCGACCCUAACCCUGACCCUGACCCUAACCCAAAUCCUAACCCUAACCCCUAACUCUAACCCUAACCCUGACCCUAACCCAAACCGUAACCCUAACCCUGACCCCUAACCCAAACCCUAACCCUGACCCUGACCCUUUUCCCUGAUCUUGGUCAGGGUGGACUGGCGGUGGUCCCAAAGCUGAGCGUCCUCCUGUGAUGUCCACUCACCUCGUCCUCUACCAGUAGAGAAGCAUUUAAAGAUGACCAUCCUCAUGUCAAGACCCUCCUGGAUCCAGAUUUUGUUCAUGAUUCUGAUGACCUGAAGAGUCAGCAUGUCCUGCCGCAGGUCGUCUCCUGACUGGGGGACAUGGGGGACAUGGGGGGACAUGGGGGAGAGGCUCCAUCACUGCCGAUAAAACCUGAGUUCAGUUUGAAUAGAGGCUGUAAAUCUCACUUUGAAGAUGACACUUAUGUGGUCUCCAAGAGGGUCCCGGUUUUGGAAGGACAGUUUCAGAGGCCUAACGAGCCUGGCGCCUGACGAGCCUAACGAGCCUGACACCUAACGAGCCUAACGAGCCUGGCGGGCCACCUGCGUACCUGGGUGUUGAGGCCCCUGACGUGCAGCGCAGGGUUGAGGGGAAGUCUGCAACUGCUGCUCACUGAGAAGAACUGAUUCAGCUCCUCCAGAGCUUCUUUGAGGACACACUGCAACAAAGGCACAGCUAGAUUUAAUGUUUAAUUAUCGCUGUGUAAAUAUCUGACUGGCCAUAAUUGAUCUGAACAUUCUGACGACCCGAUUUGAACUGAGCAGGGUUCCAAAGACACCAUGAAAGGAACCCUUCUCUGCUCCGUUCCGAGCGAAUCAACCCUCAUCUUUGGGGCUUGGAUGUCCCAACCUGUCUGCUGGACGGGGUCGCGUCCCGGACUCUGUGGGCCACAUUGGUAAGAAUGGAGACAAGCCAGCUCUGACGAUCAAAUUCCUCUCGGAGACCUCGACCGACGCAGCAGAGCAGAGCGGCCAGCAGGUGGCGAUAGCGGGCGCUAAACUGGCUGUCCAGCAGGUUGUCCUUCAGAAGCCUGAUGCAAACACACAGCAGCAUCCUCACACACUGGACCAGAGGGUUAGGGUUAGGGUUAGGGUUAGGGUGAGGGUUAGGGUUAGGGGUUAGGGUUAGGGGCUAGGGUGAGGGUUAGGGGUUAGGGGUUAGGGGUUGGGUGAGGGGUUAGGGGUUAGGGGCUAGGGGCUAGGGUUAGGGGUUAGGGGCUAGGGUUAGGGGUGAGGGGUUAGGGGUUAGGGUUAGGGGUUAGGGGUUAGGGCUAGGGUUAGGGUUAGGGGUUAGGGGUUAGGGGCUAGGGGCUAGGGUUAGGGGUUAGGGGCUAGGGUUAGGGUGAGGGGUUAGGGGUUAGGGGCUAGGGUUAGGGGUUAGGGGUUAGGGGCUAGGGUUAGGGUGAGGGGUUAGGGUUAGGGGCUAGGGUUAGGGGUUAGGGGUUAGGGGCUAGGGUUAGGGUUAGGGGUUAGGGGCUAGGGGCUAGGGUUAGGGGCUAGGGUUAGGGUUAGGGGUUAGGGUUAGGGGCUAAGGGUUAGGGUUGGGGGGGUUAGGGUUAGGGGCUAAGGGUUAGGGUUAGGGUUAGCGUUAGGGCUAGGGUGAGGGUUAGGGGUUAGGGGCUAAGGGUUAGGGGUUAGGGGGAGGGUUAGGGUUAGGGUUAGGGGUUAAGGGUUAGGGCUAGGGUGAGGGGGGGUUAGGGUGAGGGUGAGGGUUAGGGGUUAGGGGUUAGGGUUAGGGGUGAGGGUUAGGGUUAGGGUUAGGGGUUAGGGUUAGGGUGAGGGUGAGGGUUAGGGUUAGGGUUAGGGGUUAGUGUUAGGGGUUAGGGGUUAGGGGUUAGGUUAGGGUGAGGGUUAGGGGUUAGGGUUAGGGGUUAGGGGUUAGGGUUAGGGUUAGGGGUUAGUGUUAGGGUUAGGGGUUAGGGUUAGGGUUAGCAUGAUCACUAAACCAGCUGACCAGAACAGGUAGUGAGCAAUCCGAAUGUCCCUCAUGGCUCUCCGGAGCAGGAAGCGAACCAAGGAACUGUCCAAGUAGCACUCGUACUUCAGAGCCUAAAAGAAAGGGAACGGGCCAGGACCAGAACCCAGGAGCAGGGUUAAUGAAUCAGAGCUGCUAUAAAACACAUUAAGCUAACAUGAUCCGAAACU